Molecule: ribosomal RNA, 253 nt
Filed under: uncultured bacterium
Lineage: Bacteria
Description: partial 16S ribosomal RNA
Rfam family: Bacterial small subunit ribosomal RNA
Source: RNAcentral
UACGUAGGGGGCUAGCGUUGUCCGGAUUUAUUGGGCGUAAAGAGCGUGUAGGCGGCCAGGUAGGUCUGCUGUGAAAACUCGAGGCUCAACCUCGAGACGUCGGCGGAAACCAUCUGGCUAGAGUCCGGAAGAGAAGAGUGGAAUUCCACGUGUAGCGGUGAAAUGCGUAGAGAUGUGGAGGAACACCAGUGGCGAAGGCGACUCUUUGGUCUGUAACUGACGCUGAGGCGCGAAAGCGUGGGGAGCAAACAGG